AGCGUAGACGGUGUGGCAAGUCUGAUGUGAAAGGCAUGGGCCCAACCCUGUGGACUGCAUUGGUAAACUGUCAUACUUGAGUGCCGGAGGGGUAAGCGGAAUUCCUAGUGUAGCGGUGAAAUGCGUAGAUAUUAGGAGGAACACCAGUGGCGAAGGCGGCUUACUGGACGGUAACUGACGUUGAGGCUCGAAAGCGUGGGGAGCAAAC
This 208-nucleotide ribosomal RNA is filed under the name uncultured bacterium. RNAcentral describes it as "partial 16S ribosomal RNA". It matches the Rfam family "Bacterial small subunit ribosomal RNA", at positions 568 to 773 of the family's 1533-position model. The record is from RNAcentral.